ACGUAGGUAAUGUACCUUUGGGUGGGGAAUAACUUAGGGAAACUUAAGCUAAUACCGCAUAAUGCAGCGGCUCCUUCGGGAGACAGUUGUUAAAGAUUUAUCGCCUAAAGAGCAGCCUGCGGCAGAUUAGCUAGUUGGUAAGGUAACGGCUUACCAAGGCUACGAUCUGUAUCCGACCUGAGAGGGUGGUCGGACACACUGACACUGAAUAACGGGUCAGACUCCUACGGGAGGCAGCAGUCGGGAAUUUUGGGCAAUGGGCGAAAGCCUGACCCAGCAACGCCGCGUGAAGGAUGAAGUCUUUCGGGAUGUAAACUUCGUAAGAAUAGGAAGAAUAAAUGACGGUACUAUUUGUAAGGUCCGGCUAACUACGUGCCAGCAGCCGCGGUAAUACGUAGGGACCAAGCGUUGUUCGGAUUUACUGGGCGUAAAGGGCGCGUAGGCGGCAAUUCAAGUCAGUUGUGAAAUCUCCGAGCUUAACUCGGAACGGUCAACUGAUACUGCUUUGCUAGAGUACAGAAGGGGCAAUCGGAAUUCUUGGUGUAGCGGUGAAAUGCGUAGAUAUCAAGAGGAACACCUGAG
Molecule: ribosomal RNA, 582 nt
Filed under: uncultured Acidobacteriota bacterium
Lineage: Bacteria; Pseudomonadati; Acidobacteriota
Description: bacterial SSU rRNA
Rfam family: Bacterial small subunit ribosomal RNA
Source: RNAcentral